GGCGGGCCCCCCCGCAUUGUACGGUAGUGAACCUGGUCAGGUCCGGAAGGAAGCAGCCACAGCUAUUUAGUGCAAGUGCCGGGGUUCAGGCUCGCCACC
Non-coding RNA from Vogesella sp. LIG4, 99 nucleotides. It matches the Rfam family "Bacterial small signal recognition particle RNA". Rfam says of the family: The signal recognition particle (SRP) is a universally conserved ribonucleoprotein involved in the co-translational targeting of proteins to membranes. The record is from Rfam. Lineage: Bacteria; Pseudomonadati; Pseudomonadota; Betaproteobacteria; Neisseriales; Chromobacteriaceae.